AUGAGGACUCUCCGCAGGUUGAAGUUCAUGAGUUCUCCCAGCCUCAGUGACCUGGGCAAGAGAGGGCCGGACGAGCGGGCACGCAGCAGCGCCGGGCCAGCGCCAAAGCCACCUGGAAUAGCAUCCGCGACGGGGUGAUCGCUGUCUUCCAGCCCAAGGGGCUGCCGGACCAGGAUCUCUUCACCUUCAACGAGGGCGUCCGGCAGCUGCUGAAGACAGAGUUGGGGUCCUUCUUCACGGAGUACCUGCAGAAUCAGCUGCUGACAAAAGGCAUGGUGAUCCUUCGGGACAAGAUCGGCUUCUACGAGGAAGCUGCUGGACUCGCUGGCAGAGACCUGGGACUUCUUCUUCAGUUAUGUGCUGCCCAUGAUGCAGGCCAUCUUCUACCCGGUGCAGGGCAAGGAGCCGUCAGUGCGCCAGCUGGCCCUGCUGCACUUCCAGAAUGCCAUCACCCUCAGCAUGAAGCUAGAGGAUGCACUGGCCUGGGCCCACGCCCGCGUGCCCCCUGCCAUCGUGCAGAUGCUGCUGGUGCUGCAGGGGGUGCACGAGUCCAGGGGAGUGACUAAGGACUACCUGCGCCUGGAGACGCUGGUCCAGAAGGUGGUAUCGCCAUACCUGGGCACCUACGGCCUCCACUCCAGCGAGGGGCCCUUCACCCACUCCUGCAUCCUGGAAAAGCGCCUGCUGUGCCGCUCCCGCUCAGGGGACGUGCUGGCCAAGAACCCGGUGGUGCGUUCCAAGAGCUACAACACGCCGCUCCUGAACCCCGUGCAGGAGCACGAGGUGGAGGGCACGGCGGCCGGCGGCACCAGCAUCAGCAGGCACUCCGUGUCCGAGAUGACUUCCUGCCCCGAGCCCCAGGGCUUCUCCGACCUGCCUGGCCAGGGCCCCGCCGGAGCCUACAGGUCCUCCCCGGUGCCCCACUCAGGGCCAUGCCCCAGCAGACUGCACCCCACGACCCAGCCCCCCGAGCAGGGCCCGGAUCCCACCAGCAGCCCGCUGCCCGGCUCCAGCCCGGAGAACCUGGGCAUUAGUAAAGGGCAGUGGGAUAGGAGUUGGUUUUAUAGG
Molecule: non-coding RNA, 1068 nt
Organism: Callithrix jacchus (white-tufted-ear marmoset)
Lineage: Eukaryota; Metazoa; Chordata; Mammalia; Primates; Cebidae
Source: RefSeq, a predicted model, not a curated record